RNAcentral lists this long non-coding RNA (705 nucleotides) under Fukomys damarensis (Damara mole-rat). RNAcentral's name for it is "lncRNA (ENSFDAG00000021620.1)". Lineage: Eukaryota; Metazoa; Chordata; Mammalia; Rodentia; Bathyergidae. The record is from RNAcentral.
AUAUGUGUUAAAGGGGAAGGAAGAUCUGCUUUCCCAGACUUCCAAUUCAUUUGCCCCUCUAAAUACAGCGUCAGUCACUCUGAAACAUCUCACUGGAACAUAGAGGUUUACCUCCCGGGCUGUGCUCAGAAAUACCUUCCCACUGGGCCUAAUCACAAAGACGGUCCAAUUUCCUUUCAGCGGAAAUUUCAAAAGGUUCCUCAGCUGUCAGGCUCGCCCACAGGAAGGGAGACCUAUCUCCGUGAGGUUACCGUGUCCUUCCACCCCAAGUCUUUCAUGUGGAUCCAGUUACCCACAGGCUGGAUCCAUCCUAUCUGCAUUUGCCAGGUGAGCAGAAUAAACGAAAGGAUCUCACAGAGGGGAACACAGCCCGCUGUCUGCCUCAGGUUUUUGCUCCUUGCUGUGGUGAGGAUGUCACAAUCGUUGAGCUGCAGCUGUGGCGCCUCAGUGAGGACACGGCGGCAUUUCUAGAGCAUGCCACAGGCCUUUUGCAUUCUCCCCACAACUUCUCCAACACCGCAGGAGACCGCUCGACUUGAGCACAAGGACAGUCCAGAAGUGCAGGACAGUCGGUGCCCAAAGAAUGACCCCAGCCAGAGGGAAGCAAAGACCGGUCACUCAGUGCUCCGGUCAAUGAUCUUUCCACGGACAACUCUCCAUGCCACUCUCAGAGUUACCUAACCCACCUUGAACACAGCGUUGACC